UCUUACGAGAGGUUUGCUAUCGGUCGUCCCAUGAUUGACCAGUCACCAUACAAGCCGGAUAUGUACGGUGACACGGAGGACGACAGACCCACUAUGGGGACUCUCUGGUACUCUCGACAGAAAAUAUGGGCACAUGUACAGACCCGGCGGUCUUAUCCUGAGUUUGUUGCGGCAUUUGAUCGAUUGACCCCAGAAGAUAUUGUGUGGGAGCCAUACAGACCUUCGGCUAUAGCCACACGUGCACCACUUGGGAUAUCUUCGGUUUGCACACAGGACCAGGGCCUAUGAAUGACUACUGCAGCUUUGGUGUACGACGUUGCAGUUGAGGCCCACUGCCUGGACAGAGUCUUGAGGCAGUUUGGUCAACGCCAGUCUUUCCCUGUGCGUUCAGCGUUGGAUCGUGUUCAGCGCCACGAUCAUAGUUUGUCAAGGGCUGGACAUCCUUUCUCCACCAUGUGGGUCACUAGGUUACAACCGUGGGUGGCUGCGUGAGAUAAUGCAGACGAGCAGUUGGCUAAGGACACCGGUCCACACACUGAGGCUUCG
Panicum virgatum (switchgrass) is the source of this 546-nucleotide long non-coding RNA. RefSeq lists it as uncharacterized. NCBI's taxonomy places the organism in Eukaryota, Viridiplantae, Streptophyta, Magnoliopsida, Poales, Poaceae. The transcript has 3 exons. The record is from RefSeq and is a predicted model, not a curated record.